Molecule: ribosomal RNA, 720 nt
Filed under: Kocuria sp. YFRE41
Lineage: Bacteria; Bacillati; Actinomycetota; Actinomycetes; Micrococcales; Micrococcaceae
Description: bacterial SSU rRNA
Rfam family: Bacterial small subunit ribosomal RNA
Source: RNAcentral
CGAUGAAGCUCCAGCUUGCUGGGGUGGAUUAGUGGCGAACGGGUGAGUAAUACGUGAGUAACCUGCCCUUGACUCUGGGAUAAGCCUGGGAAACUGGGUCUAAUACUGGAUACUACACAUUCUCGCAUGGGGGUGUGUGGAAAGGGUUUUACUGGUUUUGGAUGGGCUCACGGCCUAUCAGCUUGUUGGUGGGGUAAUGGCCUACCAAGGCGACGACGGGUAGCCGGCCUGAGAGGGUGACCGGCCACACUGGGACUGAGACACGGCCCAGACUCCUACGGGAGGCAGCAGUGGGGAAUAUUGCACAAUGGGCGAAAGCCUGAUGCAGCGACGCCGCGUGAGGGAUGACGGCCUUCGGGUUGUAAACCUCUUUCAGCACGGAAGAAGCGAAAGUGACGGUACGUGCAGAAGAAGCGCCGGCUAACUACGUGCCAGCAGCCGCGGUAAUACGUAGGGCGCAAGCGUUGUCCGGAAUUAUUGGGCGUAAAGAGCUCGUAGGCGGUUUGUCGCGUCUGCUGUGAAAGCCCGGGGCUUAACCCCGUGGUGUGCAGUGGGUACGGGCAGACUAGAGUGCAGUAGGGGAGACUGGAAUUCCUGGUGUAGCGGUGAAAUGCGCAGAUAUCAGGAGGAACACCGAUGGCGAAGGCAGGUCUCUGGGCUGUUACUGACGCUGAGGAGCGAAAGCAUGGGGAGCGAACAGGAUUAGAUACCCUGGUAGUC